This 1933-nucleotide ribosomal RNA is filed under the name Salmonella enterica. RNAcentral's name for it is "partial 23S ribosomal RNA". It matches the Rfam family "Bacterial large subunit ribosomal RNA", at positions 436 to 2167 of the family's 2925-position model. The record is from RNAcentral. Lineage: Bacteria; Pseudomonadati; Pseudomonadota; Gammaproteobacteria; Enterobacterales; Enterobacteriaceae.
GUCUGAAUAUGGGGGGACCAUCCUCCAAGGCUAAAUACUCCUGACUGACCGAUAGUGAACCAGUACCGUGAGGGAAAGGCGAAAAGAACCCCGGCGAGGGGAGUGAAAAAGAACCUGAAACCGUGUACGUACAAGCAGUGGGAGCCCCACCACUAAGCCAGUGGUGAACUCCACAUACGCAUCCUUUGCUGAGGAUACGGUUAACGGAGCGAAAGCGAUGUUCAACCGCAAAAGAAGCAGAGGGGGCUUAGUGGUGGGGUGACUGCGUACCUUUUGUAUAAUGGGUCAGCGACUUAUAUUCUGUAGCAAGGUUAACCGAAUAGGGGAGCCGGAGGGAAACCGAGUCUUAACCGGGCGUUAAGUUGCAGGGUAUAGACCCGAAACCCGGUGAUCUAGCCAUGGGCAGGUUGAAGGUUGGGUAACACUAACUGGAGGACCGAACCGACUAAUGUUGAAAAAUUAGCGGAUGACCUGUGGCUGGGGGUGAAAGGCCAAUCAAACCGGGAGAUAGCUGGUUCUCCCCGAAAGCUAUUUAGGUAGCGCCUCGUGAAUUCAUCUCCGGGGGUAGAGCACUGUUUCGGCUAGGGGGCCAUCCCGGCUUACCAACCCGAUGCAAACUGCGAAUACCGGAGAAUGUUAUCACGGGAGACACACGGCGGGUGCUAACGUCCGUCGUGAAGAGGGAAACAACCCAGACCGCCAGCUAAGGUCCCAAAGUCAUGGUUAAGUGGGAAACGAUGUGGGAAGGCCCAGACAGCCAGGAUGUUGGCUUAGAAGCAGCCAUCAUUUAAAGAAAGCGUAAUAGCUCACUGGUCGAGUCGGCCUGCGCGGAAGAUGUAACGGGGCUAAACCAUGCACCGAAGCUGCGGCAGCGAACGUAUCACCCAAGACAACUUUACGGAGUUAACGAUUGACGGAGCGAAGCGACGUCAAAGCGUUCAUUAAAGUCGAGUUGGCUUAGGGAUACGUUCGUUGGGUAGGGGAGCGUUCUGUAAGCCUGUGAAGGUGGCCUGUGAGGGUUGCUGGAGGUAUCAGAAGUGCGAAUGCUGACAUAAGUAACGAUAAAGCGGGUGAAAAGCCCGCUCGCCGGAAGACCAAGGGUUCCUGUCCAACGUUAAUCGGGGCAGGGUGAGUCGACCCCUAAGGCGAGGCCGAAAGGCGUAGUCGAUGGGAAACGGGUUAAUAUUCCCGUACUUGGUGUUACUGCGAAGGGGGGACGGAGAAGGCUAUGUUGGCCGGGCGACGGUUGUCCCGGUUUAAGCGUGUAGGUGUGUGUUCCAGGUAAAUCCGGUUCACUUUAACACUGAGGCGUGAUGACGAGGCACUACGGUGCUGAAGCAACAAAUGCCCUGCUUCCAGGAAAAGCCUCUAAGCAUCAGGUAACAUCAAAUCGUACCCCAAACCGACACAGGUGGUCAGGUAGAGAAUACCAAGGCGCUUGAGAGAACUCGGGUGAAGGAACUAGGCAAAAUGGUGCCGUAACUUCGGGAGAAGGCACGCUGACACGUAGGUGAAGUGAUUUACUCAUGGAGCUGAAGUCAGUCGAAGAUACCAGCUGGCUGCAACUGUUUAUUAAAAACACAGCACUGUGCAAACACGAAAGUGGACGUAUACGGUGUGACGCCUGCCCGGUGCCGGAAGGUUAAUUGAUGGGGUCAGCGCAAGCGAAGCUCCUGAUCGAAGCCCCGGUAAACGGCGGCCGUAACUAUAACGGUCCUAAGGUAGCGAAAUUCCUUGUCGGGUAAGUUCCGACCUGCACGAAUGGCGUAAUGAUGGCCAGGCUGUCUCCACCCGAGACUCAGUGAAAUUGAACUCGCUGUGAAGAUGCAGUGUACCCGCGGCAAGACGGAAAGACCCCGUGAACCUUUACUAUAGCUUGACACUGAACAUUGAGCCUUGAUGUGUAGGAUAGGUGGGAGGCUUUGAAGUGUGG